GCGAGGGUAGCAAAGUCUGGUCAUGCGCAGGACUUAAGAAGACACUUAAGGUUGUACCUUAAGAUAUCCUGUCACUUAGUGUGUCCGAGGGUUCGAAUCCCUCCCCUCGCA
Molecule: transfer RNA, 111 nt
Filed under: Candidatus Woesearchaeota archaeon
Lineage: Archaea; Nanobdellati; Candidatus Woesearchaeota
Description: tRNA-Leu
Rfam family: tRNA
About the family: Transfer RNA (tRNA) molecules are approximately 80 nucleotides in length.
Source: RNAcentral